ACCCAGCUGGCUCAGUCAGUAGAGCACGUGACUCUCGAUCUCGGGGUUGUGACUUGGAGCCCCACACUGGGUG
This 73-nucleotide transfer RNA is filed under the name Ailuropoda melanoleuca (giant panda). It matches the Rfam family "tRNA". Rfam says of the family: Transfer RNA (tRNA) molecules are approximately 80 nucleotides in length. Lineage: Eukaryota; Metazoa; Chordata; Mammalia; Carnivora; Ursidae. The record is from Rfam by way of RNAcentral.